This is an RNA transcript of Daktulosphaira vitifoliae (grape phylloxera), 2523 nucleotides long. It is a transcript of the gene named phosphoglucomutase, with no coding region annotated. The transcript is spliced from 12 exons. The record is from RefSeq and is a predicted model, not a curated record. Lineage: Eukaryota; Metazoa; Arthropoda; Insecta; Hemiptera; Phylloxeridae.
CUUACCAUCUUAAAAAAAUGUUUAAAUAAGUUUUUUUUUUUUAAGUUUACUUAAUUCUUUUAAUAGGAAUAUCUCUUUAUUUAUAUAGUAUUAUAAGGUAAUUUAUAAUAAAUAUAGUUUAGAUGGAGCGUGAUGGUGAUUUAUUGUAGUUCUUUAAAUUAAGAUUAUUUUUUCAACUUCUUGUGCCACUUCUUUCUUUGUACUGUCUAUGAUGAAUUCUAUGAAAAAGCUUACCAAACCAUUUGAAGGCCAAAAACCUGGUACUAGUGGACUUCGAAAAGCCGUGAAAGUAUUUCAACAACAAAACUACACAGAAAAUUUUAUCCAAGCUAUACUUAGUGCUAUACAGCCUUCAGUAGUUGGCAGUACAUUGGUAGUUGGUGGUGAUGGACGUUUUUAUAGUACUGAAGUUGUAGAUUUAAUUAUAAAAAUAGCGGCUGCUAAUGGGGUAAAAAAAUUAAUAAUUGGUCUAAAAGGAAUUCUUUCUACACCAGCUGUAUCUUGCAUUAUACGGAAGUAUAAAGCAACUGGUGGUAUUGUGCUAACAGCCAGUCAUAACCCGGGUGGUCCAAAUAAUGAUUUUGGAAUCAAAUAUAACACAUCUAAUGGAGGUCCAGCUCCCGAAUCUGUUACCAAUUCAAUUUAUGAGAUAUCUAAAAACAUUGAUAGUUAUAGUAUAGUUCCUGAUUUAAAAUGCUCUAUAGAUUACUGCGGUCAUCAAUAUUUUAAAGUUGAUGGUAAAGAAUUUGAGGUUGAAGUUAUUGAUUCAGUGUUAGAUUAUUUGCAGCUAAUGAAAAAUAUAUUUGAUUUUGAUAUUAUACGUAAACUUAUCAAAGGUUCAGAUAAUAAACCACCUUUUAAUAUACUUAUUGAUUCAAUGAAUGGAGUGACUGGGCCAUAUGUUAAAAAAAUUUUCAUUGAUGAAUUAGGAGCACCAUCAAACAAUGCUGUAAAUAUUGUUCCUUUACCUGAUUUUGGUGGCCUCCAUCCAGAUCCUAAUCUUACUUAUGCUGAUGGAUUAGUUACUGCUUUGAAAAAUGGAGAAUAUGAUCUUGGUGCUGCUUUUGAUGGUGAUGGUGAUAGAAACAUGAUUCUUGGAAAGAAAGCAUUUUUCAUAAAUCCUAGUGACUCUUUAGCUGUUUUAGCAAAUAAUUUAGAUUGUAUUCCUUAUUUUAAAAAAGGUGGUAUUACUGGUUUCGCAAGAAGUAUGCCAACGGGAUCUGCUGUUGAUAGAGUUGCAGCAAAGUUAGGAAAAGAACUCUUUGAAGUUCCAACAGGUUGGAAAUUUUUCGGCAAUUUAAUGGAUGCUGGUCGUUUAUCUCUUUGCGGUGAAGAAAGUUUUGGAACUGGCUCUGAUCACAUACGAGAAAAAGAUGGCAUAUGGGCUGUACUUGCCUGGCUAUCUGUAAUAGCCAAUGUUGGCGAACCUGUUGAUUCAAUUCUUACUAGUCAUUGGAAAUCUUUUGGACGUAAUUAUUUUACAAGAUAUGAUUAUGAAAAUUGUGAAUCAGAGCCGUGUAACCAAAUGAUGAUUGAUUUAGAGAAAAAAGUCACAAAUCCUACAAUUGUAGGCCAAAAAUUCACGUAUGGUCAAAAAGUUUAUGUUUUAAAGCAUGCUGAUAACUUUGAAUACUGUGAUCCAAUAGACAAAAGUUUCACUAAAAAACAGGGUAUAAGAGUUUUAUUUGAAGAUGGAUCUAGAUUUGUUUUUCGAUUAAGUGGUACUGGUAGUAGUGGUGCUACUAUACGUUUGUAUGCUGAAUCUUAUGAGCCCCCAAAUUCUAAUAUAUUAGAAGAUGCUCAAGUAGCUCUUAAGCCACUUGUUCAAAUAGCUUUGGAGAUAUCAAAAUUACCUCAAUAUACUAAACGAGAUGUGCCUACAGUAAUCACAUGAUUAUAAAAUUGUAUUUGUUGUUUAGUUAUACAAUAAUAUUUAAAGAUUCUGUGAUGUAGUUAAAAAACUAAUGCAAAGUUUACAAACUUAGGUGUGGACCUUGAAUGUUAUUGUUGAUGUUUUUGACCUGUAAAGAGUUUUUGUAACUCUUUAACCAGUUGAUACUGCCAAUAGUUUGUGGAGUCUACUUAAUUCAAAGGGAAAUUAAAUGUUGACUCAAUUAAAGUUAAAAUAAAAAUCUUUUUAUAUGUUUAAUUAAAUAAUUAAUGUAUUAUUAUAUAAAUUUUCUUCUAUAGAAAAGAUGGGAUUAGUUUUAUACAAUUAUACAUUAUAAAUGUACUUAAAAUUUUUUUUUUUUUUAUUAUAAUAUUGUAUUUAUAAAGAAUUAUUGACUUAUUAUUAAGCAAUUAAUAAGUAUUUGCAUUACUAUAUAUUACUACGAUAAUAUAACAUUUAAAAAUAUUAUAUUAGGAAUUUAUUUUAAAUGUAAUUUAGUAAAAAAAUGUAGUAAAAUUUAUGCGCUUGUGUAAUCAUGUAAAAUUUGUUUUAAGUUAUUAAUACCAAUCAUUUUUUAUUUAAUUAAUAUUUUGAAUUUGUAAACACAUAUAAUAAAUGUUAAAUUAGAAUUA